GUAGUCCACGCCGUAAACGAUGUGUGCUCGUUGUCGGGAUCUUUAGGUCCCGGUGACAACGCGAAAGCAUUAAGCACACCGCCUGGGGAGUACGGUCGCAAGAUUAAAACUCAAAGGAAUUGACGGGGACCCGCACAAGCGGUGGAGCAUGUUGUUUAAUUCGAAGCUACGCGAAGAACCUUACCCACUCUUGACAUACCAAGUAUGACUUUCAGAGAUGAUUGUCUUCAGUUCGGCUGGCUUGGAUACAGGUGCUGCAUGGCUGUCGUCAGCUCGUGUCGUGAGAUGUUGGGUUAAGUCCCGCAACGAGCGCAACCCUCAUCGUCUGUUGCUACCAGGUUAAGCUGGGCACUCUGACGAGACCGCCGGUGACAAGCCGGA
This 381-nucleotide ribosomal RNA is filed under the name uncultured bacterium. RNAcentral describes it as "bacterial SSU rRNA". It matches the Rfam family "Bacterial small subunit ribosomal RNA", at positions 790 to 1167 of the family's 1533-position model. The record is from RNAcentral.